UACGUAGGUUCCGAGCGUUGUCCGGAUUUAUUGGGCGUAAAGCGUGCGCAGGUGGUUUAUUAAGUCUGGUGUAAAAGGCAGUGGCUCAACCAUUGUAUGCAUUGGAAACUGGUAGACUUGAGUGCAGGAGAGGAGAGUGGAAUUCCAUGUGUAGCGGUGAAAUGCGUAGACAUAUGGAGGAACACCGGUGGCGAAAGCGGCUCUCUGGCCUGUAACUGACACUGAGGCUCGAAAGCGUGGGGAGCAAACAGG
This 252-nucleotide ribosomal RNA is filed under the name uncultured bacterium. RNAcentral describes it as "partial 16S ribosomal RNA". It matches the Rfam family "Bacterial small subunit ribosomal RNA", at positions 524 to 776 of the family's 1533-position model. The record is from RNAcentral.